RNAcentral lists this ribosomal RNA (406 nucleotides) under uncultured bacterium. RNAcentral describes it as "partial 16S ribosomal RNA". It matches the Rfam family "Bacterial small subunit ribosomal RNA", at positions 30 to 526 of the family's 1533-position model. The record is from RNAcentral.
AUUGAACGCUGGCGGCAGGCUUAACACAGGCAAGUCGAACGAGUGGCGGACGGGUGAGUAAGGUUUGGGAAACUGCCUGAUGGUGGGGGAUAACUUCUGGAAACGGUAGCUAAUACCGCAUACCAUCGGAUGUGCCCAGAUGGGAUUAGCUAGUAGGUGGGGUAAUGGCGCACCUAGGCGACGAUCCCUAGCAGGUCUGAGAGGAUGACCGGCCAAGCUGGAACUGAGCCACGGUCCAGACUCCUACGGAAGGCAGCAGUGGGGAAUGUUGCACAAUGGGGGCAAGCCUGAUGCAGCCAUGCCGCGUGUAUGAAGAAGGCCUUCGGGUUGUAAAGUACUUUCAGCGGGGAGGCGUUACCCGCAGAGGAAGCACCGGCUAACUCCGUGCCAGCAGCCGCGGUAAUAC